Molecule: microRNA precursor, 97 nt
Filed under: Marmota monax (woodchuck)
Lineage: Eukaryota; Metazoa; Chordata; Mammalia; Rodentia; Sciuridae
Source: RNAcentral
UGUCCUUUAAGAUAAUAUGUAUCUAGACUUUCCAUCCCAGAAAUAGAAAUGGGAUGGAAAGUAUAGAUACAUAUUAUAUUAAAGGACAAAGGACAGU